RNAcentral lists this transfer RNA (180 nucleotides) under Candidatus Woesearchaeota archaeon. RNAcentral describes it as "tRNA-Gly". Lineage: Archaea; Nanobdellati; Candidatus Woesearchaeota. The record is from RNAcentral.
GCGCCGGUAGUCUAGUGGCCAUGAUUCAGCCUUGCCAAGGCUGCGGCGCGGGUUCAACAUUUUGACAGACUGUCAAACUCCUGCGCAAUGUGGGAUUUCGCAUUCGCUCAAUCCCACGGAACGGCUUCGCCGUUCUAGGGGUUAUAUCGGCUUGUCAGAAGGAAAGUCCCGCCCGGCGCA